This 620-nucleotide ribosomal RNA is filed under the name uncultured bacterium. RNAcentral's name for it is "bacterial SSU rRNA". The stretch from base 1 to 539 matches the Rfam family "Bacterial small subunit ribosomal RNA", at positions 338 to 873 of the family's 1533-position model. The record is from RNAcentral.
CCUACGGGAGGCAGCAGUGGGGAAUUUUGGACAAUGGGCGCAAGCCUGAUCCAGCAAUGCCGCGUGAGUGAAGAAGGCCUUCGGGUUGUAAAGCUCUUUUGUCAGGGAAGAAACGGUGGGAGCUAAUAUCUUCUGCUAAUGACGGUACCUGAAGAAUAAGCACCGGCUAACUACGUGCCAGCAGCCGCGGUAAUACGUAGGGUGCAAGCGUUAAUCGGAAUUACUGGGCGUAAAGCGUGCGCAGGCGGUUGUGCAAGACAGAUGUGAAAUCCCCGGGCUCAACCUGGGAAUUGCAUUUGUGACUGCACGGCUAGAGUGUGUCAGAGGGGGGUAGAAUUCCACGUGUAGCAGUGAAAUGCGUAGAGAUGUGGAGGAAUACCGAUGGCGAAGGCAGCCCCCUGGGAUAACACUGACGCUCAUGUACGAAAGCGUGGGGAGCAAACAGGAUUAGAUACCCUGGUAGUCCACGCCCUAAACGAUGUCUACUAGUUGUCGGGUCUUAAUUGACUUGGUAACGCAGCUACGCGUGAGUAGACGCCGNGGAGGUACGGUCGCGAGAGUAAACGUACGAAGUAGAGUAGAGGAGNGAGAGNGCGACGGACGACGACGAGGGGAGGAGG